GGAAUUUACACUUAUCUGGACUGGAGAAUGGAUGAUUUCAUUUUUUGGGACUGCAGUAUUCACUGCUUUUUUUGUGAAAUGUCAAGAUUAAUUUAUUUUUAGGGAAUCCAGAUUACAACCACUCCCAUCCCUUCUUUCUAUGUAAAUUGUUAAAUUUGAUAAUAAGAUACAUAUUUCAAGAUUCAGUUAGUAUAUACUAAAAUGAGAACAGGAAUUAAUAGAAAAUAAGACAGACCAAUUCAGACUCUAUUAUUGUAAAAAUAAAUAUACAAAAAAGAUUUAAUAGCACAUGGUCCAGAUAACAUUACCCAGCAUACACAAAAAUCCAGCAAGUUGAAACUUAUUUAACUUAGCUCAAGUUUAUUCAAGGACCUGUUAGCUCAUUGAUUGUAAUAUGUCCAUAUGAGAUAUUGUCAUCUGACGACUUUCAUUGUCUGUCAUCUCGGGGUAUUCCUGUAAUCUUUAUCAAUUUUUUUCCUUUGUAAAAUUAAAAAUAAUAAUUUACAUUCAGGACCAGUUUCAUCAAAAAAUAAAACCUCCAGGGAAUUAUGCCCCUUUGAAUUUUAAAUAUAUUAAAUUAAAAAAAAAAACAAUAUCACUCUGAGGGCUCUCACAUGUACACCUUCCUUUGAUAUUGAAGUGUAAAAAAAAUUAUGUCAA
This 660-nucleotide long non-coding RNA is filed under the name Mytilus galloprovincialis (Mediterranean mussel). The record is from RNAcentral. Lineage: Eukaryota; Metazoa; Mollusca; Bivalvia; Mytilida; Mytilidae.